GUCUAUGGCCAUAGCAACCUGAACACCCCAAUCUCGUCUGAUCUCAGAAGCUAAGCAGGGUCGGGCCUGGUUAGUAUUUGGGUGGGAGAAAUGUUCCUCUCACUAGCCAUCAGGAAAAUGAGAUGUUAACU
Molecule: ribosomal RNA, 131 nt
Filed under: Heterocephalus glaber (naked mole-rat)
Lineage: Eukaryota; Metazoa; Chordata; Mammalia; Rodentia; Bathyergidae
Source: RNAcentral